This 253-nucleotide ribosomal RNA is filed under the name uncultured bacterium. RNAcentral's name for it is "partial 16S ribosomal RNA". It matches the Rfam family "Bacterial small subunit ribosomal RNA", at positions 524 to 776 of the family's 1533-position model. The record is from RNAcentral.
UACGAAGGGGGCUAGCGUUGUUCGGAUUUUCUGGGCGUAAAGCGCACGUAGGCGGAUCGUUAAGUCGGGGGUGAAAUCCUGGGGCUCAACCCCAGAACUGCCUUCGAUACUGGCGAUCUAGAGUCCGGAAGAGGUGAGUGGAACUCCUAGUGUAGAGGUGGAAUUCGUAGAUAUUCGCAAGAACACCAGUGGCGAAGGCGGCCAACUGGUCCGAUACUGACGCUGAGGUGCGAAAGCGUGGGGAGCAAACAGG